UACGGAGGAUGCAAGCGUUAUCCGGAUUUAUUGGGUUUAAAGGGUGCGCAGGUGGUUUAAUAAGUCAGUGGUGAAAGUCUGCCGCUUAACGGUAGGAUUGCCAUUGAUACUGUUGGACUUGAAUAUGGAUGAGGCAGGCGGAAUGUGUAGUGUAGCGGUGAAAUGCUUAGAUAUUACACAGAACACCGAUUGCGAAGGCAGCUUACUAAUCCAUGAUUGACGCUGAGGCACGAAAGCGUGGGGAUCAAACAGGA
RNAcentral lists this ribosomal RNA (254 nucleotides) under uncultured prokaryote. RNAcentral describes it as "partial 16S ribosomal RNA". It matches the Rfam family "Bacterial small subunit ribosomal RNA", at positions 524 to 777 of the family's 1533-position model. The record is from RNAcentral.